GACGAACGCUGGCGGCGUGCCUAAUACAUGCAAGUAGAACGCUGAAGGAGGAGCUUGCUUCUCCGGAUGAGUUGCGAACGGGUGAGUAACGCGUAGGUAACCUGCCUGGUAGCGGGGGAUAACUAUUGGAAACGAUAGCUAAUACCGCAUAACAGUAGAUGUUGCAUGACAUUUGCUUAAAAGGUGCAAUUGCAUCACUACCAGAUGGACCUGCGUUGUAUUAGCUAGUUGGUGAGGUAACGGCUCACCAAGGCGACGAUACAUAGCCGACCUGAGAGGGUGAUCGGCCACACUGGGACUGAGACGCGGCCCAGACUCCUACGGGAGGCAGCAGUAGGGAAUCUUCGGCAAUGGACGGAAGUCUGACCGAGCAACGCCGCGUGAGUGAAGAAGGGUUUCGGAUCGUAAAGCUCUGUUGUAAGAGAAGAACGAGUGUGAGAGUGGAAAGUUCACACUGUGACGGUAUCUUACCAGAAAGGGACGGCUAACUACGUG
Molecule: ribosomal RNA, 495 nt
Filed under: uncultured bacterium
Lineage: Bacteria
Description: partial 16S ribosomal RNA
Rfam family: Bacterial small subunit ribosomal RNA
Source: RNAcentral